Molecule: ribosomal RNA, 468 nt
Filed under: uncultured bacterium
Lineage: Bacteria
Description: partial 16S ribosomal RNA
Rfam family: Bacterial small subunit ribosomal RNA
Source: RNAcentral
GAUGAACGCUGGCGGCGUGCUUAACACAUGCAAGUCGAACGGUGAAGGCGGAGCUUGCUCUGCUGGAUCAGUGGCGAACGGGUGAGUAACACGUGAGCAAUCUGCCCCUGACUCUGGGAUAAGCGCUGGAAACGGCGUCUAAUACUGGAUACGAGCUGCGAAGGCAUCUUCAGCAGCUGGAAAGAACUUCGGUCAGGGAUGAGCUCGCGGCCUAUCAGCUUGUUGGUGAGGUAACGGCUCACCAAGGCGUCGACGGGUAGCCGGCCUGAGAGGGUGACCGGCCACACUGGGACUGAGACACGGCCCAGACUCCUACGGGAGGCAGCAGUGGGGAAUAUUGCACAAUGGGCGAAAGCCUGAUGCAGCAACGCCGCGUGAGGGACGACGGCCUUCGGGUUGUAAACCUCUUUUAGCAGGGAAGAAGCGAAAGUGACGGUACCUGCAGAAAAAGCGCCUGCUAACUACGUG